Molecule: ribosomal RNA, 497 nt
Filed under: uncultured bacterium
Lineage: Bacteria
Description: partial 16S ribosomal RNA
Rfam family: Bacterial small subunit ribosomal RNA
Source: RNAcentral
GAUGAACGCUGGCGGCGUGCCUAAUACAUGCAAGUCGAGCGAACAGACGAGGAGCUUGCUCCUCUGACGUUAGCGGCGGACGGGUGAGUAACACGUGGAUAACCUACCUAUAAGACUGGGAUAACUUCGGGAAACCGGAGCUAAUACCGGAUAAUAUAUUGAACCGCAUGGUUCAAUAGUGAAAGACGGUUUUGCUGUCACUUAUAGAUGGAUCCGCGCCGCAUUAGCUAGUUGGUAAGGUAACGGCUUACCAAGGCAACGAUGCGUAGCCGACCUGAGAGGGUGAUCGGCCACACUGGAACUGAGACACGGUCCAGACUCCUACGGGAGGCAGCAGUAGGGAAUCUACCGCAAUGGGCGAAAGCCUGACGGAGCAACGCCGCGUGAGUGAUGAAGGUCUUCGGAUCGUAAAACUCUGUUAUUAGGGAAGAACAAAUGUGUAAGUAACUAUGCACGUCUUGACGGUACCUAAUCAGAAAGCCCCGGCUAACUACGUG